RNAcentral lists this ribosomal RNA (549 nucleotides) under uncultured bacterium. RNAcentral's name for it is "bacterial SSU rRNA". It matches the Rfam family "Bacterial small subunit ribosomal RNA", at positions 355 to 896 of the family's 1533-position model. The record is from RNAcentral.
UGGGGAAUUUUGGACAAUGGGCGCAAGCCUGAUCCAGCCAUGCCGCGUGUCUGAAGAAGGCCUUCGGGUUGUAAAGGACUUUUGUCAGGGAAGAAAAGGCUGUUGCUAAUAUCGACAGCUGAUGACGGUACCUGAAGAAUAAGCACCGGCUAACUACGUGCCAGCAGCCGCGGUAAUACGUAGGGUGCGAGCGUUAAUCGGAAUUACUGGGCGUAAAGCGGGCGCAGACGGUUACUUAAGCAGGAUGUGAAAUCCCCGGGCUCAACCUGGGAACUGCGUUCUGAACUGGGUGACUAGAGUGUGUCAGAGGGAGGUAGAAUUCCACGUGUAGCAGUGAAAUGCGUAGAGAUGUGGAGGAAUACCGAUGGCGAAGGCAGCCUCCUGGGAUAACACUGACGUUCAUGCCCGAAAGCGUGGGUAGCAAACAGGAUUAGAUACCCUGGUAGUCCACGCCCUAAACGAUGUCGAUUAGCUGUUGGGCAGCUUGACUGCUUANUAGCGAAGCUAACGCGUGAAAUCGACCGCCUGGGGAGUACGGUCGCAANAUUA